Myotis myotis is the source of this 1039-nucleotide RNA transcript. It is a transcript of the gene named telomere repeat binding bouquet formation protein 2, with no coding region annotated. The record is from RefSeq and is a predicted model, not a curated record. The transcript is spliced from 2 exons. Lineage: Eukaryota; Metazoa; Chordata; Mammalia; Chiroptera; Vespertilionidae.
GGAAAUGUGUAGCUAGCAAUGGGCAUUACUUUGAGUAAAGCACUUUUGAUGUUUCUCUUGAUAUUAUCGUGUUUUCUUUGAUUACAAAAUCUGUAUUACUAACCAGGACACCUGGUAUAUAUAAGUAGAAGGUACUUCACCGAAUGGCAACAAUAAGGGUAAAACUGGUAAGUAAUUUUGGGGAGCAUUAUUAUUAUUUAGAGUGUAUUUGUGACCUAAAUAUAACAAUUUCCUAUUGGCAUAUUAAGUAAAUAUAUUAUGUGAUAGGUACCAGUAUCUGAGUUACUGUCACAUAAUCUUUAGUUCUUUUGUAACUCCAUAGCUAAAUACUUCACUUUAAUUUUGAAGGGGAAACAAUUUGUAAAGCUUACUUCAUAUUUUUGAUGUAGCUCACGGACAGCCUAGGAAUCUUCAAUUCAAAAAUUUUAAGAGAGUUUAAGAACACUUUUUUGGUUUCCUUAUUUUUAAAAAAACUAAGAAGUAAUAUGACCACAUUAGGGAAAAUUUCAAAAACUGAAAAAGAAUAAAAUUUGUCAAAAGUUUUACUAUCUAAUACAACCACAGCUGAUAUUUUAAAAAUUUUGUUCUUUAUGUAUCCUAAAAAUAUAGAAUGUAAUUCUGUGUGUACAAAAUUUUGUUAAGUUUUUUCCACCAAACUAGAUUGAAUGUACCUAGGUAUAUAAAUACUUUAUGACUCUUAUAUAGUGCCAAUGUACUUUUCUUUUAUUAAAAAAUUUAUUGAUUGGCUUAUUGGUGUGCUGAUUUUUUAAAAUGUGAUUUCUUUUGCUAUCCACAGCAUGAUGAAGUAAUGUCAAAUGAAAUAAACAUCCUUAAGGAAAGCAGUGAACUGGCCACAGAUCACAAAAAAGAAUUAUCCAAAAGGUGAGGAUUAAAACAACAACAACAAAAACAAGUUUCCUUCAAAGCACAGAAUCCAUUAAAGAAAAGAGUCCCCGGCUGGUGUGGUGCAAUGGUUGAGUGUUGACCUAUGAACCAGGAGGUCAUGGUUUGAAUCCCAGUCCAUUGAUAUUUUCUCUCU